UGGGGAAUAUUGCUCAAUGGGGGAAACCCUGACGCAGCUACGCCGCGUGCGGGAUGAAGGCCUUCGGGUUGUAAACCGCUUUUGAUUGGGAGCAAGCUUUCGGGUGAGUGUACCUUUCGAAUAAGCGCCGGCUAACUACGUGCCAGCAGCCGCGGUAAUACGUAGGGCGCAAGCGUUAUCCGGAAUUAUUGGGCGUAAAGAGCUUGUAGGCGGUUCGUCGCGUCUGGUGUGAAAGCCCAUCGCUUAACGGUGGGUUUGCGCCGGGUACGGGCGGGCUAGAGUGCAGUAGGGGAGACUGGAAUUCCCGGUGUAACGGUGGAAUGUGUAGAUAUCGGGAAGAACACCAAUGGCGAAGGCAGGUCUCUGGGCUGUUACUGACGCUGAGAAGCGAAAGCGUGGGGAGCGAACAGG
RNAcentral lists this ribosomal RNA (411 nucleotides) under Bacteroidota bacterium. RNAcentral's name for it is "Bacteroidetes bacterium partial 16S ribosomal RNA". It matches the Rfam family "Bacterial small subunit ribosomal RNA", at positions 355 to 776 of the family's 1533-position model. Lineage: Bacteria; Pseudomonadati; Bacteroidota. The record is from RNAcentral.